Molecule: RNA transcript, 2945 nt
Organism: Arachis stenosperma
Lineage: Eukaryota; Viridiplantae; Streptophyta; Magnoliopsida; Fabales; Fabaceae
Exons: 6
Source: RefSeq, a predicted model, not a curated record
ACUCUCUUCAUCUCCCUCGACACAAAGAGAUUUAGCCUUAUAUGCAUACCUUUUAGAGGUUUUUUGUUACGAUGGGUUACUGCACCGUGUGAGAUACCAUCGCCGGCGAAUACACCCUCAUCCUACCAUAGCGAAAAUCCUAAACCAUUGUUUUCAAGUCAUAGUUAUGUAUUCCGACAUGAUCUGUGUGAGCAGGUACUUCGAGUGCAAGAUGUUGCGGCGAUGAACAAAGAACAGAUUAAGGAACCGACUUCAUUGUCAGUCCCGGGAGCUUUUGCUGCACCGUCCGCGCCUAGGUAUUCACAAUUGGAGUUGCCCUCCAACCCUGCUAAUGGGUCGGAACACAAGAGGGAUUUGAAGGAACCUGGACACCCAAUUACAACCUCGUCUUUGGCUGAAUGCAUCUCCCAAAUUGAAGCUGACAUCGCCGACGUUAGAUUCGUUAUCUGAAACCAAAAGCUUCUAAAUGAGAAGUAUGUGGAACUGGUGAAAGAGAUGAUAAAUCAGCAAGCUGUAUCACCCCAUAUUGGAAUUAACUCUCCAAAAGUAGGGAAGACCACAAUGAUCGAAGGGACCAUUGGAAAAAGUGGAGCAACCUUAAGGACAUACAAGCGAUGAAGCGAAAGAAAAAUGCUACUCCCACAACAACUGGGACCGACCCUAACUCUGACUAUCUCCCAAUUCCGACGCCGCCAUCUAGUUCAAAAGGCAGCACCUUCCACUUGAAGUGCAGAAACAAACAGAGGCAUUCUGGAUCGACCCUUACCCCAAAGGGAGAAACCCCAAAGGGAAGGAGGAAACUAUUUAACUCGGGGAGCAUUUCUGGGGUGGGCCAGAGCAAGGGAGAAAAGACUCACAUCACUAGCAGCUCCAUCCCAGUAGUCCAAUAAGCUGAACAUCAAAACUUCCUGCAGAUUCGUCAUGUUGAUAGGAGCCAGUGGGGGAAGAAGAUUGGGGAAAAUAACCUUAUGCUUAAUAACUGGUGUAUAAACCAUAAUAUUUUGGAUUUUGAGAAUUAUUUAAUAACUACACACGAGAUUCUCCUUACAGGAUAUGUCAUUAACUUUCUUCCCCACGAAGGACAUGAAGAUUGUAGGCCUUGAUCUAUGCGCUGCGGCAUACAUAUUCAACACGAAACUUGACCAAGAGUAAGUCUCACCACUGAUUGUAGUAGUUUUCAGUGGCAUAAUAUACUGAAUAGAUAAGUUGAAAUGUCAGUUUUGUGUGCAUUGUUUGUCACAGUUGGUUCCACUGCUAUAGCAGCAACAUUUUUCAUUCCAAUUUUCAUACUAAUGCAUGUUUUGUUGGAGACAUCUGUUAUAAAUGAUAUGCGUUUUUCGUUAAGAAGAAUAGUCACCCACAUUCUUGAGCUCAUGUUAUAACUAAUUCGAAGUAAAUCAUGCUUGCUAAUAUUGAACACCGUAGCAAGCUUCUUGUUCGAACCCCGCACUGUACUAUUACCAGGGGUUCUCUCAGAACUCUGGAGCCAAGGAAGUCCGCGGUCAACGACGUGAGUACAAAAUCAGUAAAAAAGCCAUAUGCUGAUUCUGCUUGCCUGCAUGCUGGAUGAAAACUCCACUAGGAUUCAUUGGUUCUUGCCGACAACCUUCUCACAAAUUGCCACCGGAAGGGGACCAAUUCCGCAUGCGACACUAAAGGCCAUCUGGGAGGAUUUUAUGGGCAAAGCCAAUCGGGUAUGCAAGAUUUAUUGUCCCAUUUGGUGCAUGGACAUUGGUUUCUGCUUGUGAUUGAUGUCAUUCGUAGACAGUUUGUGUGCCUAGACUCCCAAGCCUCAGAAGAUGAUAGACCCAAGCGGCUUCAGCAGCUUAAAAAAGUGGCCAUCUUCAUGGAAGAGGCACAAGACAGUGAUGAUUGGCAUGAUGACCCGACAAAUCCUAGGAUUCUGUGCAGUGACUACGAGAUAAUAGAGCCUAAGGACAGCAGGCAGGACCCCAGAAGGUACCCCUACACUCCAUCUACUUCUGCUGGGGCUAACUCAUGGUUAUGAUCCGCAAAGAAAGACUUCAUAUCUUCCACUUUCCACACCUCUUGUCUAGAUGAACCACAAACCUAGCAUUACAAUUGGUUAUUGUAAUUGGUUUCUGUGCCCGCUGUCUAUCAGUCCUCUCAUAAUGUUUCUUAUCGCGCAAUCCUUCUCUAUUGCUGAAGAAAAAUUUUCUCACAACAUUACCUUCAUUAUCUUUUCCUGAAUCUCCCUUUCGAACCGCAAACCCGGUAACCCGUGCAUAUUCCACAUACCCUGCAUAUGCCUCCUCAACCGAAUCGAACUCAGCAAUAGCCAAAUCUUCUGUUGUUACCCCUGCCUCGCAGGGAUUGGAACAAUUUGGUUCUUCAACUGAUCUCACCGUCACCGGACUAGAUCCUUAAUCUUUUGCAUCAUCUGCUACCUUACUACUUUCCUCACUAUCCAACAAUGUCAUGUUGACUUCUUCUGGUUGUCCCGACUUAAGCCCUAGUGUCUCACAUUCGUCAGUCUUCGAUUCCAUGUUCCAUCCGUCACUCUACUGCUCAGAGAACUCUGAGCUACUUUCCAAAUCACUGUCCAUCUCACGCCACCAAAUACCUGAAUAGGCAAAGAAUUUGUCAGCUGGCAAGUCAGACAAAAAUAGCAUGGUAACUAGGCAUAAAAUAUACAUCUCGAAAACCUUUAAUUAGUAUCCAAAAGAACCAACAAAAGGAUCUACUUAUACUGUGUUUGGAACACCUUGAGAAUAGCUAUCCAUCAAGAAAAAAAAUUCUUUUAUUUGGUUUGGAGUACAAGAAAAAUAUCAUUUUCAAAUCUCAAGUGAAUUUCAAUUCUCACUUAAUGUUCAAACUAAAUCAGACCAAAAAUUGUCUGAUUGCAAGUUUAUUAUUACUAAAUAUUGAAAUGUCAAAAUUAUUCUUAAUAAACAAAUAAAGAAAAGACAAAUAGAUAACCACAA